RNAcentral lists this transfer RNA (70 nucleotides) under Lentisphaerae bacterium GWF2_45_14. Its description in RNAcentral is "tRNA-Val". Lineage: Bacteria; Pseudomonadati; Lentisphaerota. The record is from RNAcentral.
GAAUUUUUGUAGUUGCAGCAUUUGGUUUACACCCAAAGUGUCGGGAGUUCGAGUCUCUCAUCGCCCACCA